RNAcentral lists this long non-coding RNA (1107 nucleotides) under Nicotiana tabacum (common tobacco). RNAcentral describes it as "long non-coding RNA (NTAB_LNC001087)". Lineage: Eukaryota; Viridiplantae; Streptophyta; Magnoliopsida; Solanales; Solanaceae. The record is from RNAcentral.
GCUAUGGGAUGAUAUAUGGACAGAAGAAUAUCUUGUAAAUAACAUAAGUAACUUAGUUAAUGUAUAUCUUAUUGUAAAUAUAUAAGGAACUUAGUUUAUGUAUAAAGUUUCAGUUAGCUUGUGUGUAUAUAGUUCCUACAAAUGAGUUGUAGACUUGUACAUGAUAUGUUGAAGCUAGUUUAUGGAACUUAGUUGUAGACUUUCAUUUCUUGCUUUGAACCGGGUAUAUCGAAUGUAAGCAUGUAAUUUUUGAUCCGCACAACUUUUAAAAGUAGUAUUUUAAAAAUAUUUACUUAUUUUCAUUUUAAUAGGAUUUCAGUCAACUUUUAGUUUUAAUUUUAAAACAUAAGUUUAAAAACACAAAUAUAGUUUUAUAAUGUUUCUUUUCUUAUUUAUAUAUAUUAACUUAUUAGUAUUUUAUAAUAUUUAUAACAUUUAAAAAAUAUUUAAAAUAUUUUCAUUUUAAUAUAUAGUUCACUUUGAUAGUUUAGUCUUAUUAGCUAAGAUUAAUUAGUAUAUUUUAGUAGUAUUUUUAUUUUUUAUAUUUUGUUUAAUAAGAAAUAAUUGAAUUUGGGCCAAUUGAGAUUUCAUUUUGAGAUUUUAAUGACCCAACAAGACAAAGGUCAAUUCUUAUCAAUUCAUUAGGCCACUCUUCGUCUCAAUGCAAGAUUUAAUCUUAACCAUAUAUUCUCCUCCAAUCUAAUGACCCAUGUCGCCCAUAUUUAAACCCAAUUAUAACCCAACCUUAACCUACCUUUUAAUUUUAGAGCUCACCCCAAAAGCUAAAAAUGGCCAGCCUUUCUUCUCCAUCUCCCUUCAUUGCUGCCGAACAACCCUCUGAGCCGCCUCUCCGCCUUAACGAAAUCUGCUGAUUCUUAGAAAAUCUCAACCACAACCUGCACAAAAAGAGAAAGAGGAACGGCAAAGAGGGGAGAACGAGAAAAAGUAACACGUUUGGCAUCUGAAUACUUCUUCACCAAAAUUAUUAGUAUCAUUUUUCAUUUGUCAUCUUCUUCUCAUUUUCCCCCACAUAUACUUGCUUGUCAGAUUUUAGGCACCACUAAUUUUCCCUCCAUCUAUUUCCUCGGCUAAAUCCUAGGUGAUAUA